Molecule: ribosomal RNA, 497 nt
Filed under: uncultured bacterium
Lineage: Bacteria
Description: partial 16S ribosomal RNA
Rfam family: Bacterial small subunit ribosomal RNA
Source: RNAcentral
GAUGAACGCUGGCGGCGUGCCUAAUACAUGCAAGUCGAGCGAACAGACGAGGAGCUUGCCCCUCUGACGUUAGCGGCGGACGGGUGAGUAAAACGUGGAUAACCUACCUAUAAGACUGGGAUAACUUCGGGAAACCGGAGCUAAUACCGGAAAAUAUAUUGAACCGCAUGGUUCAAUAGUGAAAGACGGUUUUGCUGUCACUUAUAGAUGGAUCCGCGCCGCAUUAGCUAGUUGGUAAGGUAACGGCUUACCAAGGCGACGAUGCGUAGCCGACCUGAGAGGGUGAUCGGCCACACUGGAACUGAGACACGGUCCAGACUCCUACGGGAGGCAGCAGUAGGGAAUCUUCCGCAAUGGGCGAAAGCCUGACGGAGCAACGCCGCGUGAGUGAUGAAGGUCUUCGGAUCGUAAAACUCUGUUGUUAGGGAAGAACAAAUGUGUAAGUAACUAUGCACGUCUUGACGGUACCUAAUCAGAAAGCCACGGCUAACUACGUG